GGGGUCUAGUUUUAUAGUCCCCUCAAGUGAACAUGAGCCAUUGGAUCUAACCGACAUUGAUUGGACGGUUAUCCUUGAUCCUUUAGGUCGGUGGAACAUCGUCCGCGAAAAGAGUCCUGAUCCAACUCCAGGAGGGGGCAGGCGCCCAGGUUAACUGGGCGGGCGCCCAGUGCCUGGCCCCAUUCGACCUCCGCUUCCUUCCCGUGGCUUCUGGAGUCUUCUAGAUGGUAGAAAAUUGCGCGGUGCGUUGAUAUCUCUACGUAAUCCCGACAUGUGGGCCUUUCUUCCUUAUUUCCUGAUAACCCCCUGCAGAAACAGAUAAACAACAAAACUCGUGGAAUUCUGUUAGAUCAAACCCUAAUUCUAGGUGUUGUUUGCAUAUUGGUCCUUUCUCUUGUUUAUUUGAUAAUUAAAAUUGAUACUUAAGAACCGUCAACAAAUACCCCCAUACUUAGGCUUUUACUCGUCCUCGAGAAAAGGAUGGUUAAGAACAAUAUCUGGGGUAAAACAUUUUAAAACAUUCUCUUCAUACCUGCAGGGUGUUAAAAUCCACUGUGUACUAUAGUCAGGGAAGUAUAUGGUUAAGAGUAAAGAUCUUUUUUCUCAUUCCUAUCACUUGGAGUUUUUGUAUAUUUUUUAAAAGAAAGUUAACAUACCUCUAUCCUCAUAGGUUCUCUUAGAUCACUCAUCAUCUUUUAUAUAUCUCGCUGAGGCUGUUUUAAUUUGUAAAAAUUCUCAAGCAUACUUACUUUGCAUUUAUUGCCUGAUCAAAACGGGAUCCAUGGAGGGGAAUGUCAUACUCUUAGAUCAAAGACUUUGGAAAUUAAAAACUUUGUCAACUCUUGCUGGCAUAUUGCUUAUUAGAGGGACCAUGGGCUAUCAUUUUCUUUCUUUUCUCUUUUCUUUUUUUUAAGUGGAUACCGAGGUACCCCUAAUUCUACUGCCGGACACUUGUCCAUUUUUUCUGCAAGGUUAUCGAGCACUUGCUCCUUUUUAUUUCCUCGAAAUAUCCUUAUUUUUGCAUAGCCCAUGCCUCUAAUGCAAUAAUACUUCGAAAGAGUGAAUCUUUCUGAAUAAAUGUCUUGAUCUUAGGAGCAUGAUAAAUCUCUCAACAAGGGUCUAACUCAUUUUGAACAAACUCAAUACAGAGUAGAUAGCUUUUAUAAUAGAAUUAAUAUUUUUAGGUUUAAUAGGCAUAUAAAACACUGAGGAUGGUAGCUAGAAUUCUUGAAUAAAUUCUCCAAGCAACAAUGAUAUGAAGAAUAAGAAACUCAUACUCUUCCAUUCCACAAUGACUUAAGUAACACAAGGUUUUAAAAUGAUUUUCAAUAAUUUGUAGUUUCCAGGAAAUAUCAGAGAAUGAGAUUAAUCAUGAUUAGAAACAUUUUAAUCUUUUUAAUCUAUCAUGUCGGAAACAAUAUUCUACAUAAUCCAAGAUAUGUGUAUGUGUAAAGUGUGCAGAGUGUGUACCUGAAUCAUGGAGUGGUGUAGUCGAAGUGUGUUUGGCAUGUCGAGGGAUCUCCCCCAUACUUGUUUUCUGCUUUCUUGCACAAAAGUAAAGUAGAGACAUACAAGACAUAAUAAUAAUAAUAAUAAUAAUAAUAAUAAUAAUAAUAAUAAUAAUAAUAAUAAUAAUAAUAAUAAU
RNAcentral lists this long non-coding RNA (1645 nucleotides) under Sorghum bicolor (sorghum). Its description in RNAcentral is "long non-coding RNA (SBIC_LNC017437)". Lineage: Eukaryota; Viridiplantae; Streptophyta; Magnoliopsida; Poales; Poaceae. The record is from RNAcentral.